Molecule: ribosomal RNA, 497 nt
Filed under: uncultured bacterium
Lineage: Bacteria
Description: partial 16S ribosomal RNA
Rfam family: Bacterial small subunit ribosomal RNA
Source: RNAcentral
GAUGAACGCUGGCGGCGUGCCUAAUACAUGCAAGUCGAGCGAACGGACGAGAAGCUUGCUUCUCUGAUGUUAGCGGCGGACGGGUGAGUAACACGUGGAUAACCUACCUAUAAGACUGGGAUAACUUCGGGAAACCGGAGCUAAUACCGGAUAAUAUUUUGAACCGCAUGGUUCAAAAGUGAAAGACGGUCUUGCUGUCACUUAUAGAUGGAUCCGCGCUGCAUUAGCUAGUUGGUAAGGUAACGGCUUACCAAGGCAACGAUGCAUAGCCGACCUGAGAGGGUGAUCGGCCACACUGGAACUGAGACACGGUCCAGAACCCUAAGGGAGGCAGCAGUAGGGAAUCUUCCGCAAUGGGCGAAAGCCUGACGGAGCAAAGGCGCGUGAGUGAUGAAGGUCUUCGGAUCGUAAAACUCUGUUAUUAGGGAAGAAAAUAUGUGUAAGUAACUGUGCACAUCUUGACGGUACCUAAUCAGAAAGCCACGGCUAACUACGUG